RNAcentral lists this ribosomal RNA (539 nucleotides) under uncultured bacterium. RNAcentral's name for it is "bacterial SSU rRNA". It matches the Rfam family "Bacterial small subunit ribosomal RNA", at positions 8 to 526 of the family's 1533-position model. The record is from RNAcentral.
AGAGUUUGAUCCUGGCUCAGAAUCAACGCUGGCGGCGUGCCUCAGACAUGCAAGUCGAACGCGAAAGUUCCCUUCGGGGGGCGAGUAGAGUGGCGCACGGGUGAGUAACACGUAGGUAAUCUACCUUCGGAUGGGGAAUAACAACCGGAAACGGUUGCUAAUACCGCAUAAUGCAGCGGCACCUAAUGGUGACAGUUGUUAAAGCGGGGGAUCGUAAGACCUCGCGUCUGGAGAGGAGCCUGCGGCGGAUUAGCUAGUUGGUAAGGUAACGGCUUACCAAGGCUAUGAUCCGUAGCCGGCCUGGGAGGGCGGUCGGCCACACUGACACUGACAUACGGGUCAGACUCCUACGGGAGGCAGCAGUCGGGAAUUUUGGGCAAUGGGCGAAAGCCUGACCCAGCAACGCCGCGUGAAGGAUGAAAUCCUUCGGGAUGUAAACUUCGCAAGAACGGGAAGAAUAAGCCGGUAUUAACACCACCGGUGAUGACGGUACUGUUUGUAAGCUCCGGCUAACUCCGUGCCAGCCGCCGCGGUAAUAC